CCACUUCGGUCACUCACGCCCCCUGGGGGGUUCUACGGAUGAAUCUUAGUUGGACCUUGAAGCUCUCACAAGCCAAUCCAGGCUCUGCAACUACGGAGUACAAUUUCUCUCAUUACGUUUCAUUGUAGAAGGAAGUCGUUCGCCAUUUCUUUCCAGAGAUGGAGAAGCACUUUCAGCACUCUUUCGACUUUUGAGCUCGAAUGAUGUUAAAGGAUUGAAAAUCGUCUGCAUUUUCUCCUCUCAAUUGAAUCACACUAUUGAUGGAUGCUACAAAGUGCAUUUGUUCUAUAAACGAUCCUUAUUCUCCCAGAGAAAAUCAUGCAUGGUCUGUAAUUCGUUUUGUCUCAUCCGGUUGACGGAGUCAAGCAAACAAUUCUGAUAAUUAAAACCUCCCAGGAGUUGAAAAUCUUCUGAGUACAUCAUUGAAGUAAGUCGUUCAAUAAAAACUUCAACCAACUCAUGAAGAAGUUCGAAGUUUGAUUCCUGUUCAAUACGUAUUCCAGGAUGGCUUCUCUGGUGUUCAGAAGCUUGUGUAAUUGCAGUGGCAAAGCUAUCCUCAAACGCAAGUAGUACAAACUCAGUGGUCGGAAUGGCUGGCUAUGCUUAAAAUCCACCAUGUCAGAUUAUCACCUCCACUUCUGGGUCGUGUAAAUUGAUGGUGUUCCUGAGAAAGAGCUUUUGCAGAUGAUAUUAGUUUUUGGAAAUGAAGCUUAAUCUGGAAAGGUUAUAAUAUAUUUACGAAAUCUAUCCUUUACCCUGUAAUAGAACUAUUGUGGACUGUCAUUUAUGAUUGCCAAUGGAGAAGCUACUUUGAUGUUGGUGGUUGGAGGGAAUAUGUUGAUUGAGAUUUAAGCAAAGAACAUUUCAGUCAGUUGGCAACUUUUUGGAGCCAGAGGGGAGCUCGUGGUUUGGUUCGAAAUGGAGAAAACUAAGCAAGCUUGGAUGUAAUUCCAUUUCCAUAUGAAUAGGAAAAGAAAGAAAAGAAUGAAUUGAAACU
This is a long non-coding RNA of Momordica charantia (bitter melon), 997 nucleotides long. RefSeq lists it as uncharacterized. NCBI's taxonomy places the organism in Eukaryota, Viridiplantae, Streptophyta, Magnoliopsida, Cucurbitales, Cucurbitaceae. The record is from RefSeq and is a predicted model, not a curated record.